Molecule: small RNA, 44 nt
Filed under: Arabidopsis thaliana (thale cress)
Lineage: Eukaryota; Viridiplantae; Streptophyta; Magnoliopsida; Brassicales; Brassicaceae
Description: ATSL221840
Source: RNAcentral
UCCUCCACAGAUGCCUCUUCUACAGCCGUUGGUGAGUCAUCUUU